AAUCAACGCUGGCGGCGUGCCUCAGACAUGCAAGUCGAACGCGAAAGUCCCCUUCGGGGGGCGAGUAGAGUGGCGCACGGGUGAGUAACACGUAGGUAAUCUACCCCCGAGUGGGGAAUAACUCAGGGAAACUUGAGCUAAUACCGCAUAAUGCAGCGGCACCACAUGGUGACAGUUGUUAAAGCAUUUAUGCGCUUGGGGAGGAGCCUGCGGCAGAUUAGCUAGUUGGUAAGGUAAUGGCUUACCAAGGCUACGAUCUGUAACCGGCCUGAGAGGGCGGACGGUCACACUGACACUGAAUAACGGGUCAGACUCCUACGGGAGGCAGCAGUCGGGAAUUUUGGGCAAUGGGCGAAAGCCUGACCCAGCAACGCCGCGUGAAGGAUGAAAUC
Molecule: ribosomal RNA, 392 nt
Filed under: uncultured bacterium
Lineage: Bacteria
Description: bacterial SSU rRNA
Rfam family: Bacterial small subunit ribosomal RNA
Source: RNAcentral